GCAGCGGUGGCUCAAUGGAUAGAGCAUCGCACUUCGGAUGCGAGGGUUGAGGGUUCGAGUCCUUCCCGCUGCGCCA
Molecule: transfer RNA, 76 nt
Filed under: Bdellovibrionales bacterium
Lineage: Bacteria; Pseudomonadati; Bdellovibrionota; Bdellovibrionia; Bdellovibrionales
Description: tRNA-Arg
Rfam family: tRNA
About the family: Transfer RNA (tRNA) molecules are approximately 80 nucleotides in length. Their secondary structure includes four short double-helical elements and three loops (D, anti-codon, and T loops).
Source: RNAcentral